This 396-nucleotide ribosomal RNA is filed under the name uncultured bacterium. RNAcentral's name for it is "partial 16S ribosomal RNA". It matches the Rfam family "Bacterial small subunit ribosomal RNA", at positions 523 to 918 of the family's 1533-position model. The record is from RNAcentral.
AUACGUAGGGAGCGAGCGUUGUCCGGAAUUACUGGGUGUAAAGGGUGCGUAGGCGGGGCUGCAAGUCAGAUGUGAAAUGCCGGGGCUCAACCCCGGAGCUGCAUUUGAAACUGUGGAUCUUGAGUGAGGUAGAGGUAAGCGGAAUUCCUAGUGUAGAGGUGAAAUGCGUAGAUAUUAGGAGGAACAUCGGUGGCGAAGGCGGCUUACUGGGCCUUUACUGACGCUGAGGCACGAAAGCGUGGGGAGCAAACAGGAUUAGAUACCCUGGUAGUCCACGCUGUAAACGAUGAUGACUAGGUGUGGGGGGACUGAACCCUUCCGUGCCGCAGUUAACACAAUAAGUCAUCCACCUGGGGAGUACGGCCGCAAGGUUGAAACUCAAAUGAAUUGGCGGGG